Long non-coding RNA from Lolium rigidum, 724 nucleotides. RefSeq lists it as uncharacterized. The transcript has 3 exons. The record is from RefSeq and is a predicted model, not a curated record. NCBI's taxonomy places the organism in Eukaryota, Viridiplantae, Streptophyta, Magnoliopsida, Poales, Poaceae.
UUUCCUCUCGUCCGUUCUGGUCGUCUCCCGGACCUCCCCGCCACCGCUGCACUGGACUGCUGCACGCCUGCACCGCUUCCUCUCCCUCGCCUCUUCCACCACCAUGGUGUCCUCUACGUCGUCAUCCCCGCACCAUCCUCCUCCUCCAUGGCAACGGCAGCAACGGACGAGGCGAGGAGGUGGUACGCGAGGCCAUGGCGAGGCGGCGGGCGAGCGUCAGGACGGCGACGAGAUUCUUGAGGUGGAUGAUUUAUUGGCUAGGAGAGCCGUCUCUGCUCUCCCAUUCCCGCGCCCCCUCCUCGACAUGGCGGCGCUGGAUCGAGGGUCUGCGGCGAUUCGAUGACCUAAGCGCGCAGCUGCGCUCGUGAGUUCCCCAUCCCGGUAAUCUCGCAGCUCGGAUUGAAUCCUACCGAGGUCGCCCGUCGUAAAGCAUCUCCUCCGUCCAGAUAUUUGGCAACCAACCUCAUCCAGGGAGGUCGAGCCAGAAGCACCAUGCUUGAUGAUGAUUCGUCGGGAGCUCGACUAUAGAGCGAAGCAGCAAACCAUGGAGGAUUUCGGGCUACUUGGGCAUUGAGCAGCAAGCCAUGUUGAACUGACAUGGAGUUUGGGAAAGGUCUGCAUCCAGGUGAAGGUGCUAAUCCUACAAUUAAAUGACCAUCCAACUUAGGUUUGGGUAGCAUGCAGGUGAUAGCUGCAGCAAAUCGUAUGGACAUUCACCAUCUUG